GCCUCCGUAGCUCAGUGGAUAGAGCAUCCCUCUCCUAAAGGGAAGGCGCGGGUUCGAUCCCCGCCGGGGGCACCA
RNAcentral lists this transfer RNA (75 nucleotides) under Gulosibacter macacae. RNAcentral's name for it is "Zimmermannella sp. YIM 102482-1 tRNA-Arg". It matches the Rfam family "tRNA". From Rfam's summary of the family: Transfer RNA (tRNA) molecules are approximately 80 nucleotides in length. Their secondary structure includes four short double-helical elements and three loops (D, anti-codon, and T loops). Further hydrogen bonds mediate the characteristic L-shaped molecular structure. tRNAs have two regions of fundamental functional importance: the anti-codon, which is responsible for specific mRNA codon recognition, and the 3' end, to which the tRNAs corresponding amino acid is attached (by aminoacyl-tRNA synthetases). tRNAs cope with the degeneracy of the genetic code in two manners: having more than one tRNA (with a specific anti-codon) for a particular amino acid; and 'wobble' base-pairing, i.e. permitting non-standard base-pairing at the 3rd anti-codon position. Lineage: Bacteria; Bacillati; Actinomycetota; Actinomycetes; Micrococcales; Microbacteriaceae. The record is from RNAcentral.